RNAcentral lists this ribosomal RNA (425 nucleotides) under uncultured Cenococcum. RNAcentral describes it as "eukaryotic LSU rRNA". It matches the Rfam family "Eukaryotic large subunit ribosomal RNA", at positions 1 to 422 of the family's 3401-position model. The record is from RNAcentral. Lineage: Eukaryota; Fungi; Ascomycota; Dothideomycetes; Gloniales; Gloniaceae.
UUGACCUCGGAUCAGGCAGGGAUACCCGCUGAACUUAAGCAUAUCAAUAAGCGGAGGAAAAGAAACCAACAGGGAUUGCCUCAGUAACGGCGAGUGAAGCGGCAACAGCUCAAAUUUGAAAUCUGGCUCUUUUAGGGUCCGAGUUGUAAUUUGUAGAGGAUGCUUCGGCGUCGGCUCCGGUCUAAGUUCCUUGGAACAGGACGUCAUAGAGGGUGAGAAUCCCGUAUGUGAUCGGUUGCCCUUGCCAUGUGAAGCUCCUUCGACGAGUCGAGUUGUUUGGGAAUGCAGCUCUAAAUGGGAGGUAAAUUUCUUCUAAAGCUAAAUACUGGCCAGAGACCGACAGCGCACAAGUAGAGUGAUCGAAAGAUGAAAAGCACUUUGGAAAGAGAGUCAAAAAGUACGUGAAAUUGUUGAAAGGGAAGCGC